UUGCAGCCAAUUAAGCCAACCGUGUUCAUUUCCCCGUGGAGGCCCAACGUGCAAUGGCUCCUCAGUAGUAUGUAGCCUGUUGCUUACACCAGCUGUGCUAAGGGACUUGGAGACAGCC
Small nucleolar RNA from Bison bison bison, 118 nucleotides. Its record names the gene SNORA70. It matches the Rfam family "Small nucleolar RNA SNORA70". From Rfam's summary of the family: snoRNA U70 seems to be exclusive to mammals and is a member of the H/ACA class of snoRNA which contain H (ANANNA) and ACA box motifs. H/ACA box snoRNAs are involved in the conversion of uridines to pseudouridines (5-ribosyluracil) a constituent of structural RNAs (transfer, ribosomal, small nuclear, and small nucleolar). The record is from Ensembl. NCBI's taxonomy places the organism in Eukaryota, Metazoa, Chordata, Mammalia, Artiodactyla, Bovidae.